RNAcentral lists this transfer RNA (72 nucleotides) under Camelus bactrianus (Bactrian camel). It matches the Rfam family "tRNA". Rfam says of the family: Transfer RNA (tRNA) molecules are approximately 80 nucleotides in length. Their secondary structure includes four short double-helical elements and three loops (D, anti-codon, and T loops). Further hydrogen bonds mediate the characteristic L-shaped molecular structure. tRNAs have two regions of fundamental functional importance: the anti-codon, which is responsible for specific mRNA codon recognition, and the 3' end, to which the tRNAs corresponding amino acid is attached (by aminoacyl-tRNA synthetases). tRNAs cope with the degeneracy of the genetic code in two manners: having more than one tRNA (with a specific anti-codon) for a particular amino acid; and 'wobble' base-pairing, i.e. permitting non-standard base-pairing at the 3rd anti-codon position. Lineage: Eukaryota; Metazoa; Chordata; Mammalia; Artiodactyla; Camelidae. RNAcentral also lists the same sequence under 2 other names. The record is from Rfam by way of RNAcentral.
GAGGGUAUAGCUUAGUGGUAAAGCACGUGCUUAGCAUGCAUGAGGUCAUGGGUUUGAAUCCCAGUACCUCUU